This 256-nucleotide ribosomal RNA is filed under the name uncultured bacterium. Its description in RNAcentral is "partial 16S ribosomal RNA". It matches the Rfam family "Bacterial small subunit ribosomal RNA", at positions 793 to 1055 of the family's 1533-position model. The record is from RNAcentral.
GUCCACGCCGUAACGAUGGAUACUAGCUGUUGGGCGAACUUCAGUGGCUAAGCGAAAGUGAUAAGUAUCCCACCUGGGGAGGUACGUUCGCAAGAAUGAAACUCAAAGGAAUUGACGGGGCCCGGCACAAGCGGUGGAGCAUGUGGUUUAAUUCGAUGAUACGCGAGGAACCUUACCAAGGCUUAAAUGUAGAUUGACCGGUUUGGAAACAGACUUUUUCGCAAGACAAUUUUACAAGGUGCUGCAUGGUUGUCGU